CAGCUCAUGAACAUCUCUGCACUUCCUGGGGAGCGUCUGGCCCAGCUUGGUACCUCGCGUGUUAGCCUGCUGAGAGCUGCAGCUCCAGCCCAGCCGCGGACCGCCGGGAAGUCACCCGCUCUGGGGGCAGCUGAAUCUUGACGUUACCGCCAUUGUUUGGAGAAAUCGAGUGGGUGUGGAACUGCGGCGAGCGAGCCCAAAGUCAUGCUCAGCCGGAAAGUCGCAUACAAUAAUAUGAAGUUGAACUUUCCUCGGCGCAGAAAGGCACAAUAAUAAACCCUGAGAUCCCCGGAAUAUCAGAAGGAAAGUGCUGUUGAUUUGUUCAGCUACUUGGAAACCUCGCCUCUGCUGAGAACUUAGGAAGGAAGGUUGGCGGCGGUGAAGAGGGAAGAGGAUGAUCUAGUAAUGGGCUCUUCCAAAUCGCAUCUGGUAGGUUCAUAGCCAUGAGUCAGCCACCAAUCGGGGGCGCUGCCCCUGCCACAGCAGCAGCUUCUCCCGCCGCUGCAGCCACUGAGGCUCGUCUGCACCCGGAGGGCAGCAGCAGAAAGCAGCAGCGAGCUCAGUCACCCGCUAGACCGAGGGACAGUUCGCUGCGACAGACAAUCGCGGCCACCCGGUCCCCAGUGGGGGCCGGCACUAAACUCAAUUCUGUUCGGCAGCAGCAGCUGCAGCAGCAGCAACAGCAGGGUAACAAGACCGGGAGCCGCACGGGGCCGCCCGCCAGCAUCCGAGGAGGCGGAGGUGGGGCCGAGAAGGCGACGCCCCUGGCGCCCAAAGGGGCCGCUCCGGGAGCUGUCCAGCCUGUGGCUGGUGCUGAAGCGGCCCCCGCCGCGACCCUGGCCGCUUUGGGCGGCAGGAGGCCCGGACCGCCCGAGGAGCCGCCUCGGGAGCUAGAGUCCGUGCCCUCGAAACUCGGGGAACCCCCUCCGCUCGGAGAAGGGGGAGGAGGGGGCGGGGAAGGAGGAGGAGCCGGCGGCGGCUCCGGGGAAAGGGAGGGGGGCGCUCCGCAGCCGCCGCCGCCCAGGGGCUGGCGAGGGAAAGGCGUACGCGCUCAGCAGAGGGGCGGCAGCGGCGGGGAGGGGGCCUCCCCUUCUCCAUCCUCCUCUUCUGCGGGCAAAACCCCAGGAACCGGCAGCAGAAACUCCGGAAGCGGCGUUGCGGGGGGCGGCAGCGGUGGUGGAGGGAGCUACUGGAAAGAAGGAUGUCUGCAGUCUGAGCUCAUCCAGUUCCAUCUCAAGAAGGAGCGGGCGGCAGCGGCGGCGGCCGC
This 1267-nucleotide long non-coding RNA is filed under the name Homo sapiens (human). RNAcentral's name for it is "non-protein coding lnc-KIAA0408-2:1". Lineage: Eukaryota; Metazoa; Chordata; Mammalia; Primates; Hominidae. The record is from RNAcentral.